This 235-nucleotide unclassified non-coding RNA is filed under the name plant metagenome. RNAcentral describes it as "partial contains small subunit ribosomal RNA, internal transcribed spacer 1, and 5.8S ribosomal RNA". The record is from RNAcentral.
UUUCCGUAGGUGAACCUGCGGAAGGAUCAUUAAUGUGUUUGGGCCUCACGGCUCUUCAUUCCGACGCUGUGCGCCUUCGGGCUGCACGCUGAGGGAGCAUAUAUCCACCCCCUGUGCACACACACGGUGGCGAGCUGGGUAACGGCUCGCCGCUGAUCUUUACACACGUCUAAAAGUCAUUGUAUGUUUAUUUGAGAUAAAAACACAACUUUCAGCAACGGAUCUCUUGGCUCUC